Molecule: ribosomal RNA, 253 nt
Filed under: uncultured bacterium
Lineage: Bacteria
Description: partial 16S ribosomal RNA
Rfam family: Bacterial small subunit ribosomal RNA
Source: RNAcentral
UACGUAGGGUGCAAGCGUUAAUCGGAAUUACUGGGCGUAAAGCGUGCGCAGGCGGCUUUGCAAGACAGAUGUGAAAUCCCCGGGCUCAACCUGGGAACUGCAUUUGUGACUGCAAGGCUAGAGUACGGUAGAGGGGGAUGGAACUCCGCGUGUAGCAGUGAAAUGCGUAGAUAUGCGGAGGAACACCGAUGGCGAAGGCAAUCCCCUGGACCUGUACUGACGCUCAUGCACGAAAGCGUGGGGAGCAAACAGG